Molecule: ribosomal RNA, 384 nt
Filed under: uncultured archaeon
Lineage: Archaea
Description: bacterial SSU rRNA
Rfam family: Archaeal small subunit ribosomal RNA
Source: RNAcentral
UGUUAAGUAUCUUGAGAAAUAUGGCAGAUUAAAAGUCAGGCUUUCCGGAGAUACUGUGGGGAUUGAGGCCGGGAGAGGUAGAGGUAAUUUAGGGGUAGGGGGGAAAUCUUGUAAUCCUUGAAGGACCCCCAGUGGGGAAGGGGUUUCACCAGAACGGAUCGACGGCAAGGGACGAAAGCCAGGGGCGGAACCGGAUUAGUACCCGGGUAGUCCAGGGUUAAACGAUACUCGCUAGGUUCGGGCAUCGUGAGACGGUGGUCGGUGCCGUAGGGAAGCCGUGAAGCGAGCCACUUGGGAAGUACGUCCGCAAGGAUGAAACUUAAAGGAAUUGGCGGGGGAGCACCACAACGGGUGGAGCGUGCGGUUCAAUUGGAUUCAACGCCG